Molecule: ribosomal RNA, 401 nt
Filed under: uncultured bacterium
Lineage: Bacteria
Description: bacterial SSU rRNA
Rfam family: Bacterial small subunit ribosomal RNA
Source: RNAcentral
UAGGGAAUCUUGGACAAUGGGCGAAAGCCUGAUCCAGCUAUGCCGCGUGAGUGAUGAAGGCCUUAGGGUUGUAAAGCUCUUUCGCCAGGGAAGAUAAUGACGGUACCUGGAUAAGAAGCCCCGGCUAACUUCGUGCCAGCAGCCGCGGUAAUACGAAGGGGGCUAGCGUUGUUCGGAAUUACUGGGCGUAAAGCGCACGUAGGCGGCUUUCCAAGUUGGAGGUGAAAUCCCCGGGCUUAACCCGGGAACUGCCUCCAAAACUGAAAGGCUAGAGUCCGAGAGAGGUGAGUGGAAUUUCCAGUGUAGAGGUGAAAUUCGUAGAUAUUGGAGAGAACACCAGUGGCGAAGGCGGCUCACUGGCUCGGUACUGACGCUGAGGUGCGACAGCGUGGGGAGCAAAC